CGCAAAAUAUUGAUGAAAGCAUGUGGACGUUUGAUUCACGUGACAUCUUUCUUAUCAAAUCACCAAAGGUUUAGCUAGUACAUGCUCUUAACGUGAUAGUGGGUCUCUCUACCAUCCUUUUUGGGGAUGGUAAUAAAAUUUAAUUUUAUAAAUAUUCGAUCCGACUCAACUUACUACGAUCAAUUUAUCAUUAGAUUUG
Molecule: long non-coding RNA, 199 nt
Filed under: Elaeis guineensis (African oil palm)
Lineage: Eukaryota; Viridiplantae; Streptophyta; Magnoliopsida; Arecales; Arecaceae
Description: long non-coding RNA (EGUI_LNC061312)
Source: RNAcentral